RNAcentral lists this long non-coding RNA (4450 nucleotides) under Brassica napus (rape). RNAcentral describes it as "long non-coding RNA (BNAP_LNC022061)". Lineage: Eukaryota; Viridiplantae; Streptophyta; Magnoliopsida; Brassicales; Brassicaceae. The record is from RNAcentral.
UUCGGAAAAGUUUUGAAUAAUUCACUCUACCGAUAUACAUAACAAGAACAAAAAAGAAAGAGAGAAGUAACCGAAGAAGAUGAAUGCUUCAGAAGGUCUUCUUUCUAGCAACAGCUUUUCGAGGUUCUCUCUUGGUAGAUGAUGCUGUGAACCCGGGAGCCGAAAACCCAACCGUAGACUGGUAGAUGUCUUUCAACCUUUUUAAAAAAAAAUAAAAGCAUGUCAAUUUAUUUCGCAUUACUCAGUAAUCAUAUACUAAAACCUUACAAAUAAAUUAUAGAUUACCUGGGGAUGCUGAUGAACAGAGCAAUUGCCGCAAUGCCAGUAACCAGUGGCAAUAUAGCUGCAGGAGUCACUUCCUGAAACCACCAUACACAAAUCAAAAUCGCAUUGAGAAAAGGAAGUUUUAAAAUGUGGAAGACUGUUUGUGUGUAUAUUAUAUAGUUUACCUGACUCUGCUGAUCUGCCUCGAUGCUGUACCGAAGUGGACCGACAUGGAUUUGAGCAUUUGUCUCGAAAUCCACUUCGAUGAUCUCUGACACUACUUUAUGGGAGCCUAAAGGACGGUUGGAUUUAAGCUGCACAAGGUGCUUACCUCUGGACAAGCCUUUGACUUGGAAGAAGUUGGAAAGUGGUAGCGGAAAUACAUUCUCUAUUUUAGAUACAUCACUGGCUGAUUUGAUUUCCACUAGCAGGUUAGUGUUUAUUUCUUCGUGCUGUUUUCCUUCUACAUGGCAUGUUAAUAUGGUCGUUUCUGGUUGUUCAAAGACCAAAAAGUCGAGCCCGUGGAUAUCUUCAUAACCAAUCUAUAAGAAGAAGAUGAAGAAAUGUCAGGUAAAAUCUCUGUUGUUGAAACUGCAGGGAUGAUGAGAAUGAAAUGUUAUGGAGAAUCAUAAACAAACCUGAAGAGAAACAGACUCUGGAGAUGCACGUUCGAUAUUAUUCUUGCCUAAACCAUUUCUUUUCGAUACUUUGAUUACAUAUGUUGCACCUGGAUGUAACCCUCUCAGACGGUAAUUUCCAUCAAUAUCACUUGUGGUCUCCUCAUAGUAUCCUUUGGAAUCAGAGCGAGCUUCAAUUGCAACGCCUUCUUGUGGUUGGCCAGAUAGGAGAGCGACUCUACCCAUUGCACUGCAAAGGAAUAGACAAGAUAUAUACAUUGUUACAGAAAAAAAAAAAGAUUUAGCGGAAUGCAAGAGAAUGGUUCAGCAAAAUGGCGGUUUAAGACCAAGAAUCUGAACAUCUUGAAUCAGAAUGUACUGAUAACAAAGAUAAACGAGUUUACAAUCUAAUAGAUGAAUAUUUAAAAUAGAUUAAAACCUGUAGGCAACACGAGUAGCCUCAAAGACAGCUUCACUGGACUCCCCAGAACCCAGUUCUAUUGCCAGUGUUGAGGGCUUGAAAGAAUAUUCCUGACCAAACAUAUGUAAAUUAGAUAACUCAUCUCAGGAAAGAACACAUCAUUUAUGUUUCCGCGUUCUGGCAGUCAUAUGAUUCCAGACAGUGCUUUACUAAGACGAGGGAAUUGGUUAGUUACCUUAAGAAGGGGGCGCAAGUAGAAAUUUCCAGGAAACAAGCUAUCAAAUACAAAGAGUCCACCAGCGCCAGAAAUAGAAUUAUUUCUGUAACCAUGAUCGCCACUCAAUGAUAACAACAAUGGAGGGAUUGAUGUCUCGGCGUUGUCCUUUGAAGAAACACUAAUUAGAGAGUUUAGAGACUGAAUAUUUAUCUGUUAUUAAUGAUCAAUAGAGAUUCCUUUAUAUAAGGAUUACAAGAUAAAGAUAAAUGGAAAGUAUCCAAAACCUAAACCCAAUAGGAUUAAGAAAACUACUAAUACAUAAUAAUAGAAAGAUUACAUCUACUAGGAAAAGGAAAGAGUUUCCUUUUCUCCAAGCUUUGUGGUUGUCUCUCUCUCUCUCCUCUCUCUAGGGCUUCGGUCGUCUCUCCAUCUUCUAGGUAUUGAGCCGGUCUUGGACCGGGCCUGGUUAAUGGCAAUCCACUCCAUGAUUUAUAACAUUUUGUUUGUUUUGCAUUGCGAGUUUUAGCUUAGCAAUGUGUAUAUGUUGUAAUGAAACUAUAUACUUAAUAACCAUUCUUUAUCUAGUUUGAAAGUCGGAUCAAAGAAUAGUUUGAAAAUGUGAGUAUUUACAAAAACUAGUUGAGUUGGUUUUUGGGGUUAAGGGAUGCACAUGGAUCACUCAUUCCCACGUGAUAUCUAAGCUAAAACACGUGCCUUCCUCUGAAUUCUGUCUGACUUUUAUUUGAUUGGUCUCAGUUUUUGUUCAAAACCCGAAGCUUUUGGAUCAAAAAGAGGUCUCUAUCGUAUGAAUUUGAGCCAAACUAGAUGAUUGGUUUGCUGCCCAAGGCAAUAUUCCCUAUUGUUUACUCCAUAUUCGACAUUUAAAAAAGGACCUCUCAUUACACAACUAGGAUUUAACUAUAGUUUAUUGUCUUAAUAUUUGCGCGACUUUGACACUUAUGUGGUUCUUCUAUAUAAAACCCAUGUCUUGAUAAAAGUCUCCAAUAGACAAUGCACCCAUCAUCUUGCAAAGUUCAAACACUUAGUAGUAGCCCUGCGACUUCGGUUUUCCGAAACCGAACCAUCGGUUUUCGGUUAACCGAAAUUUUAAAAACCAUUUCCGAAAGUAACCGAAUUAAAUUUCGGUUCGGUUCGGUUCGGUUUUCGGUUCUAGAGGGAUCUAUCUCUUUGCAUUGGGAACGACGUCGUUUCAGUCAGAUACACAAUGGCGAGGAGGCGCGAGAAACGUUCAUCGGCGACGGAGAGUUCCGACCGGCGGCACACCCGUGACGAGUCAAAACCACGAGAUGGAGAACCAGACUCAGAUCGUCGGCUCAUCACCAUCUUCGUGGUGUUAAGAGGAAGUAAAGUAAAGAAAGAGAGUUUAGGGUUUAGACGAAGAAAGAGUGAGAAACUAAACAUGGGUUCUUGCUAAAUAAAUACUAUGAAUCGCUGACCGGCAUUUACAGGUGGACAAUGUUUUAAUUGGUAAUAGACAAGACGGGUGAUAAAGCUUUAGUACCUUAGGUUUUGACCGGCUCAGCCUUUAGCCGGAGUUCCCAUCGUGUGAACGAGCUUUUCGUGUGUGAAAGACUAAAGGAAUAUACGUUUUGAAUUAUGACACAAAGAUGAUGCUACUACUUACUUUUUUUUUUGUAAACUAAUUUGUUAACUUACUUGGAUUUGUCGCUUUUGAUUUAAGACUAUAUCGCACUCCUUGGUAAAACUGUAUUGUGUAUUUUGUAAGGUUCUUCUAUAAUUGUUACGUAUUGGAUACACUGAAGUACUGAACCAUUGAUGCUAUUUAUGUCAUUAGAAAAUAAUUAAAUUUGCAUUUGUUUCGUUUUAUACCAUCAAUCAAACAGCUGCACUGAUUCUGUAUAAAUAAAAAACAAAUCCUAAAAAUAAGAUUCACAAAACAAAACAAAACAAAAAGUAUUGUUGUGGACCCAAACAAAUCACCGCAAUAUUGAAUAAGAUAGUAACGGGACCAGAUUAAUAUAACCUUUGCAUGUUCCUGAGGUUCCUCUCUUUUAUAGACAGUGGUGAUCCCGAUGAAAAAAGUAAAAGGUAUAGUUUAAUUUUCGUCUUUUUUUUUCGCAAACUUCAAAAUUGUUUUCUAUGUACAAAUGAAUAUAUGGCUUUGUAUUUCUUUUCUUUCUCGAUUUCGUAUAUAUUCUUUUCGCGAAAGGUGAGAAAAUAAUAAAAGGUUACGCAUGGACUGAUUAACGCCGAUUGAUAUGCUUGUAAUGUUAGCUCUGCUUUUGCAUGGUUCCGUGAUCCUGCUCUUCUCACAUUCUUUCACAUGUAAAGUACAUUUUGAAUUCUUAUUUCCGACCGGCAAUGUAAAAGUCAUAUAUGGUUACGAAAAAAAAUCAACAAACAAAUCAACGAUAUAAUUAAGUAAGAACGGAAGAGUCCAAGCGUCGAGUUCUGAACAUCGUUUCUCAGUUGGUAGGCACAAAAUGUUUCACUAUUGGUCCCCACAUUUUUUCAUGGCAAAGUCCAAAGUCAUGUAAAACAUACCAAGUACAUUCUUUUUGGCUACCAUUACUAAAGUUCAUAACCUUGAUCUUGAAUAAAUAACUUAAAAACUGAAAUGGUAAAAAUAAAGAGAAGACUAAAUUACCAGAUGUGAAAAGUGUUUCUCUAGAAUUUGAAACGUGUUGGACUAGAGAGGAGUUUCUGAACUCGGAAAAGUUUUGAACAAUUCACUCUACCGAUAUACAUAACAAGAACAAAAAGAAAGAGAGAUGUAACCGAAGAAGACGAAUAUGCUUCAGAACGUCUUCUUUCUAGCAACAGCUUUUCGAGGUUCUCUCUUGGUAGAUGAUGCUGUGAACCCGGGAGCCGAAAACCCAACCGUAGACUGGUAGAUGUCUUUCAACCUUUUUAAAAAAAAAUAAAAGCAUGUCAAUUUAUUUCGCAUUA